UACAGAGGGUGCGAGCGUUGUUCGGAAUUAUUGGGCGUAAAGCGCUUGUAGGCGGCACGUCAAGUCGCGUGUGAAAUCCCCAGGCUUAACCUGGGAAGUGCGCGCGAAACUGACGAGCUUGAGUGCCGGAGAGGGUCGCGGAAUUCCCGGUGUAGAGGUGAAAUUCGUAGAUAUCGGGAGGAACACCAGUGGCGAAGGCGGCGACCUGGACGGACACUGACGCUGAGACGCGAAAGCGUGGGGGAGCAAAACAGG
This 255-nucleotide ribosomal RNA is filed under the name uncultured bacterium. RNAcentral describes it as "partial 16S ribosomal RNA". It matches the Rfam family "Bacterial small subunit ribosomal RNA", at positions 524 to 776 of the family's 1533-position model. The record is from RNAcentral.